This is a long non-coding RNA of Bos taurus (domestic cattle), 2323 nucleotides long. The record is from Ensembl. NCBI's taxonomy places the organism in Eukaryota, Metazoa, Chordata, Mammalia, Artiodactyla, Bovidae.
AGUAGCUUUAAUGUUUGCAACCUGGGACCCUUGAGUUAAUUCUUUUUCCUGUUAUAGCUCACCACACCUUUGCUCUGUAGGAAUGCAACUUUAUCUAAUGCUUUUGAGGGUGGCGCUUGACUAAUCACCUUUAGAGAAAAAUAAGUUUUCUGAAGAAAGGGUCUUAAAAUGUUAACAGGCCUCAGGGCCAGAAGAUGAUGCAAAUCACCUAAACUUUUGCAUAUGGUAAGUUUGCGGGAAGAAAGCCUGGCUUACUGCAUGACUCUACCCCUUCCCCCAUUAUCCUCUAUGCAUAACUUAAGGUAUAAAAACUACUUUUGAAAAUAAAGUGCGGGCCUUGUUCACCGAAACUUGGUCUCCCCAUGUCGUUCUUUCUCUCACCUUCUGGCUGAAUUAUUCAGCCUCUUUUCUCCACUGAAUUUCCUCACUGAGCUGUCUUUAUUCUAUUACUCUUUAUAUCCUUAAUUAACGUUUAAUUAAGCAGUUGUUUCCUGAUCCUCGCCGACGCCGUCCCCGCUUCGAAUUCCCUGGAUCCACCGGGGCUGGACCCCGGCACUGGACUGGACCAUGUGAUUCUCAGGCCGUAUCCAGAUAUAUAUGUUCCCAGGGCGUCACUCUGCCCUCUGCCAUCAUCCGUCUUGGGAACCAGAGUUGGACGUCAAUCCCCAUAAGCCACAGGGGGCGGUCUGUGUCUGGGCUGGUCUUUCCACUGGACGGAGCCGAGGGCAGCCUAGCUGUGGACCUUUUCCGGGAGAUCAGUCCCUACUCACCCACUCUCCGCCCCUUCCCAAACCACAAACAUGAGGCAGACAGAGCGAAGAGGAACAGCUAGGAAAAUAGCGCAAAGCUCUCCCACGGGGGCCGGCACGUGAGGGCACAACGUCUUCAGACCUCCCUCUGCUCCUGUAAGGACAUCUGUCUUAGGACUUAGGACCCAACUGAAACCUAGAGCGAUUUCACCUCUUAAAUACAUCUGCAAAGACAUUUUUUCCUGGUUCUGCAAAGCUCCCGUAAUCCACCUUAACGCCUAGAGCAAGAUCCAUGCCCUGUGACUAAGCUUACAACACAUGGGACGAAGGAAAGCUGUGACUUGUCUUGGGGCUGUGGUCCUUGGCCCUGGGAGAGGAGCUGACCCCACGUCUCUCCUCCCUGCCCACACCGACUGCCUUCACUCUGACCCUCUUCACCUCCCUCCUCAAGUUAGGGUCUUGCUGUUGCUGAAAUGAAUCACCACAAACCUCAACAACUUAAAGCAACACACUUUCAUCACCUCACAGUUCCGGAGGUCAAAGUCCUGUGAGUCUCACUGGCGAAGAUCAAGGUGUUAACAGGACUGCAUUCCUUGUGAAGCCUUCAGGGAGAGUGCGUCUCCUCAACCUUAUUUACCUUCUGGAGGUAUGUGUUCUUUGGCUCAUGGCCCCCUUCUUCCCUCCUCCAAGCCAGCGAUGGCCAGCUGCCCCACUCAGACUUUGUCUCUUUCAUCACAUCUCUUCCUCCUCCCUUUCCCCCUUUUAAAGACCCUGGGCUUCCUACAUGGCUCAGUGGUAAAGAAUCUGGCUGCCAAUACAGGAGAUGUGGGUUCGAUCCCUUGGUUGGGAAGAUCCCUUGGAGGAGGAAACAGCAACCCACUCCAGUAUUCUUGUCCAGAGAAUCCCAUGGACAGCCUGGUGGGCUACAGCCCAUAGGGUUGCAAAGAGUCAGACACGACUUAGUGAUGGAGCACCCACGCACUGAUACCUUGGGGGCCCUGGGCAAUGCAAGGUAACCUCUCAUCUCAGGGUCCUCAAUCAAACUUAGAGGACAUGGGCAUCUUUGUGGGGCACUGUUCUGUCUAUAACAUUCUUAGACUAAUGUUUAAACUGAAAGUUGUGACUCAUCAGUGACUCACAGAAUCACCUAAAUGAUUUGGAACCAGCAUUCCCACUCCCCUGCCCACCAGUUUUAUUGAAAAGAGUUGACACACAUCACUAUGUAAGUUUAAGGUGUACUGCAUGAUGGUUUGAUUUACACAUAUGGUCAAAAUGAUUACUAUAAUAUGGAACCAAUAUUUCUAAAUGAAAUCAGAAUACUUUGCUUGUAAUAAGGUUAAGUAUUGUUGCAUGAACAUCAAAUUUUAUAUGUGUGUGUGUGUGUUACUUGGUUAGCAGUAUAAAUAAGAAAUAUAUUUCUACAGUGAAUUUUUAUUUUUUUAAAAAAGGAGAGUGACUACGAAGCCAUCAUGGUAGCCUCCUAAUUGGUCUUUCUGCCUUCAGGCUCUCUAAUCCAUUCUCCACAAGGCUGUCAAAAAGUUCUUCCUAAAAAUAAACUGGACACGUCACUCUGC